Non-coding RNA from Gasterosteus aculeatus aculeatus (three-spined stickleback), 1221 nucleotides. The record is from RefSeq and is a predicted model, not a curated record. Lineage: Eukaryota; Metazoa; Chordata; Actinopteri; Perciformes; Gasterosteidae.
CCCACUACGAGUGUCAUGGAUGUCCAGCUUCAUGCUACGACAGUCCCAGCUACCGGCUUACGCCCGCGUGUGCUGCGCCCUCACCAAACUGCACCAAGCCACUUUUUGGAAUCCUAACGGGGUUUUCACCCAAAAGCCUUUUACAACUUCACUCGCAUUAUCAGUCACCUCUGACCGGACAACAACAGACGCGCCCAUUUCACUAAACAGUCCGGGUUCGACCUCCCUCUAAUCCUGAGUCAAACCCCUCCGGCUAAAACACUGGCUGAAGCUCGUCCACGGCUGAGAGGCACAGCGUGGAGCGGAGGAGAUCAGAGGUACUGGCAUUCAAUUCCUCUGGUGACAAACGCUGGGCGCUGGUGUUGUGGACUAAUCCCAUUCACAACAACAAAGCCCGACCCCCCACCACACGUAUACUGUGCACGUGCACACACACACACACACACACACACACACACACACACACACACACAAUCUGGAAUACAGAUGAAGCACCGAGUGAUGGGGGUGGGUGAGUAUGCAUGCAUGUAGAUGUGUGGGUGUGUGUUGGUAGAAUUGUAAUAUAGCAGAUUUUGUGUGUGUGUGUGCGUUAAUGAAAAAGCUGUAAUCUGGGUCCUUGUCAAACCUGUUUACGCCUCGCUGAGUCUUCUGCCCCAUUCGUCCCUCCUCUUUCUCUUCCGCUCUUCCCCUAUUCCAUCUUCUCCAUCCCUGCCUUUUCCUUCCACUCUCCAUCCUCCCUCCCUCCCUCCUCCUCCUCCUCCUCCGCAGCCAGGCAACUACACAAACAGUCCCUCUUCCUCCUUUACUACCAGCUCCCUUUGCUCCAUCCAUCCAUGCUAAUUGAAAACCACUCUCGCUCUCAUUUCCGUUCUUACUUACAUGUCACCUCCAUGUUUCCAAGUGCAGUGUGAAACUCUCCACAGUGAUAAGUGAAUCCUCGUGCUUUUGCCAGAGACGGAGUUUUUUGCGCCCGCCUGGAGACCGGGAUGGAUGGACGGAUGGAAUUAAGAAGCAGAUGGCUCCUGGCUCUAGCUGAUUGUGGACAGUUAGCUUUAGCGUUAGCCACAAUGAGGGAAGACUCGUCUGUCAGUGCAGCAUGUGCACCUUCUCCUUUUGUGCUGUUCUCUCUUGGCUCUUUGUUCCUUCAGGUUUCCUUCUCUAUUCUUUCUUUUAGCACAUUCCCUUCAAUUUAAAAAAUAAAAAACUAACAACAAACUCUUA